RNAcentral lists this ribosomal RNA (1325 nucleotides) under Escherichia coli. RNAcentral's name for it is "partial 23S ribosomal RNA". It matches the Rfam family "Bacterial large subunit ribosomal RNA", at positions 419 to 1746 of the family's 2925-position model. RNAcentral also lists the same sequence under 1 other name. The record is from RNAcentral. Lineage: Bacteria; Pseudomonadati; Pseudomonadota; Gammaproteobacteria; Enterobacterales; Enterobacteriaceae.
GGGACACGUGGUAUCCUGUCUGAAUAUGGGGGGACCAUCCUCCAAGGCUAAAUACUCCUGACUGACCGAUAGUGAACCAGUACCGUGAGGGAAAGGCGAAAAGAACCCCGGCGAGGGGAGUGAAAAAGAACCUGAAACCGUGUACGUACAAGCAGUGGGAGCACGCUUAGGCGUGUGACUGCGUACCUUUUGUAUAAUGGGUCAGCGACUUAUAUUCUGUAGCAAGGUUAACCGAAUAGGGGAGCCGAAGGGAAACCGAGUCUUAACUGGGCGUUAAGUUGCAGGGUAUAGACCCGAAACCCGGUGAUCUAGCCAUGGGCAGGUUGAAGGUUGGGUAACACUAACUGGAGGACCGAACCGACUAAUGUUGAAAAAUUAGCGGAUGACUUGUGGCUGGGGGUGAAAGGCCAAUCAAACCGGGAGAUAGCUGGUUCUCCCCGAAAGCUAUUUAGGUAGCGCCUCGUGAAUUCAUCUCCGGGGGUAGAGCACUGUUUCGGCAAGGGGGUCAUCCCGACUUACCAACCCGAUGCAAACUGCGAAUACCGGAGAAUGUUAUCACGGGAGACACACGGCGGGUGCUAACGUCCGUCGUGAAGAGGGAAACAACCCAGACCGCCAGCUAAGGUCCCAAAGUCAUGGUUAAGUGGGAAACGAUGUGGGAAGGCCCAGACAGCCAGGAUGUUGGCUUAGAAGCAGCCAUCAUUUAAAGAAAGCGUAAUAGCUCACUGGUCGAGUCGGCCUGCGCGGAAGAUGUAACGGGGCUAAACCAUGCACCGAAGCUGCGGCAGCGACGCUUAUGCGUUGUUGGGUAGGGGAGCGUUCUGUAAGCCUGUGAAGGUGUGCUGUGAGGCAUGCUGGAGGUAUCAGAAGUGCGAAUGCUGACAUAAGUAACGAUAAAGCGGGUGAAAAGCCCGCUCGCCGGAAGACCAAGGGUUCCUGUCCAACGUUAAUCGGGGCAGGGUGAGUCGACCCCUAAGGCGAGGCCGAAAGGCGUAGUCGAUGGGAAACAGGUUAAUAUUCCUGUACUUGGUGUUACUGCGAAGGGGGGACGGAGAAGGCUAUGUUGGCCGGGCGACGGUUGUCCCGGUUUAAGCGUGUAGGCUGGUUUUCCAGGCAAAUCCGGAAAAUCAAGGCUGAGGCGUGAUGACGAGGCACUACGGUGCUGAAGCAACAAAUGCCCUGCUUCCAGGAAAAGCCUCUAAGCAUCAGGUAACAUCAAAUCGUACCCCAAACCGACACAGGUGGUCAGGUAGAGAAUACCAAGGCGCUUGAGAGAACUCGGGUGAAGGAACUAGGCAAAAUGGUGCCGUAACUUCGGGAGAAGG